RNAcentral lists this unclassified non-coding RNA (201 nucleotides) under Hevea brasiliensis (rubber tree). The record is from RNAcentral. Lineage: Eukaryota; Viridiplantae; Streptophyta; Magnoliopsida; Malpighiales; Euphorbiaceae.
GUACGAUCUUGACGCCAAAUUUCUGUCUAUUCUUUUUUACAAGAGGGACCAACCGAAUGGUCGAUAAUUCAGUCAUCUCAUUAAAACAGUCAAAUUGUUGUAACUUGUAAUGUUUCUAAGAGUACCACUGCCCCGUUUCACAUUGGCUUCUACAAAUCGUUUCCAUGCCUUUAGCGGCCGAUUUGCCUCGCCCAAUUCAGA